Molecule: transfer RNA, 78 nt
Filed under: Candidatus Heimdallarchaeota archaeon
Lineage: Archaea; Promethearchaeati; Candidatus Heimdallarchaeota
Description: tRNA-Leu
Rfam family: tRNA
About the family: Transfer RNA (tRNA) molecules are approximately 80 nucleotides in length.
Source: RNAcentral
GGGGCAGUAGUUUAGCUCGGCCUAAAGAGAAAGGUUGAGUCUCCUUCGACCCGGGUUCAAAUCCCGGCUGCCUCGCCA